GGCAAGGUGUAAUGGUUUGCAUGUAGGACUAAGACUCUGGAGACUGGGGUUCGAGUCUCCGCAUGGCCA
Non-coding RNA from Phrynosoma platyrhinos (Desert horned lizard), 69 nucleotides. The record is from the annotation of a GenBank genome assembly. NCBI's taxonomy places the organism in Eukaryota, Metazoa, Chordata, Lepidosauria, Squamata, Phrynosomatidae.